UACGGGGGGGGGCAAGCGUUGUUCGGAAUUACUGGGCGUAAAGGGCGCGUAGGCGGCUCUUCAAGUCAGCCGUGAAAUCUCCGGGCUUAACCUGGAAGGGUCGGUUGAUACUGUCGAGCUAGAGUGUGGAAGAGGCAACUAGAAUUCCGUGUGUAGCGGUGAAAUGCGUAGAUAUACGGAGGAAUACCUGCGGCGAAGGCGGGUUGCUGGGCCAACACUGACGCUGAGGCGCGAAAGCUAGGGGAGCAAACGGG
RNAcentral lists this ribosomal RNA (254 nucleotides) under uncultured bacterium. Its description in RNAcentral is "partial 16S ribosomal RNA". It matches the Rfam family "Bacterial small subunit ribosomal RNA", at positions 524 to 776 of the family's 1533-position model. The record is from RNAcentral.